GUCUACGACCAUGCCACCCUGAACAAGCCCAAUCCCGUCUGAUCUCGGAGGCUAAGCAGGGUCGGGCCUGGUUAGUACUUGGAUGGGAGACCACCUAGGAAGACCAGGUGCUGUAGGCA
RNAcentral lists this ribosomal RNA (119 nucleotides) under Pteropus alecto (black flying fox). The record is from RNAcentral. Lineage: Eukaryota; Metazoa; Chordata; Mammalia; Chiroptera; Pteropodidae.